This 258-nucleotide long non-coding RNA is filed under the name Homo sapiens (human). RNAcentral's name for it is "HSALNT0147717". The record is from RNAcentral. Lineage: Eukaryota; Metazoa; Chordata; Mammalia; Primates; Hominidae.
CAGAUAUUUGCCAAUGGCCUAUUAUGAACCGUACCCUAAAAGCUUCACAAAGGAAAAGUGAAUGGGCAGACGGGAAUUUGAUGUUUCUAAAAGACAUGUGUGACCUGAUGUGGAAUUAAUAUACCAAUAUGUGAAAUUUCCAGAAAGUAAGAGAAUGCUUGAAGGAGUUAUUGUGAUGAUCACACCUGGAAUUAAGGCACCAUGGAGGAGCUAACUGGAAUGAGACUGCAGAGAUACAAUGGGCACAAUACAGUAUGU